Molecule: long non-coding RNA, 1116 nt
Organism: Pygocentrus nattereri (red-bellied piranha)
Lineage: Eukaryota; Metazoa; Chordata; Actinopteri; Characiformes; Serrasalmidae
Source: Ensembl
CUCAUCGGGACAAACAUCAAUGAGGCGAAGAUCUACUUGCAGACUGAGUCCUCAGUGCAGGAUGUUCUCCUGAAUUCACAGGUGUCCGUUACAUUCAAGGGGGUGUCCAUCUACAUGGAGGGCUGCUUCAAGUGUCAUGACCCCUGUGAUGGCCAAACCCUUGAGACACCUUUGGUGUUUCCCAGCACACCAUGAGGACCACCACCAGGGUUUUAAACAGCAGCACGACCCUUUAGGCUCUGUAUCUUAUUCAUUUCAUUACUGUAGUGACAGUUUCUGCACAUCCAUAUGUUUACAUUCUGUAUGUGUUUCUUUGAGUGUGUGUGUGUGUGUGUGUGUGUGUGUGUGUGUGUGUGUGUGUGUGUGUGUGUGUGUGUGUGUUAUGAUCAGAAUCACUGUCAUUCUACUAAUCAUCAUUUCUAUCUGAACAGUGGACAUGGACUAAGUCAGUGGACAUUGCUUCCAAAAGAUCCCAUCAGCUCACCAGUGUUAAAACUGUACCUAGAACUAUCUGAAUCUAGAACAUGAAUCUACAACAUAGUCUGAACACUAGACUAUUGGAUGUAGUUCAGUUUAUUCUGUUUGGCUGUAACUGAUGCUGGGACUGAUGUCGUCAUCAUUCUACAUACUUUUAUUGAACGUGUAACUGCCACCUCGAUGGCUCAGCAGGGCAACAGUCUGACCCUUUAAGAGGCCAAUGCCCAUGUACUGCUGAAGCGCAUGUGCGCCAGUGAUCCGACUGCCAGCCUGGCUACUGAGGCUUUCCCAACUGUGGACCAUGCCAAUGUAACGGGCAUGCAGCGAGCAGUGACCCACACACCGGCACCUGCCAUGAGUGCAGAGACCACACAGCAGGCCAUCAGUGUGAGAGGUGUAUGGAUUGUUUCUAUGGUAACCCAGUGCUGGGUUCAGGGGAGCACAGCCGUUCGUGUCCAGGUUACCCAGGCAGUGGUCAUUCCAACGGACAUUCCUGCCAUAAGAAAUCAGCUUUCAUCCAGAUCACUUUCCACUGCUUGGAAAAGAACAAGCCUGCUUUAUACUGUGCACUGCAAUGAUUGGCCUGUUAUGCUACAGUUUCCUGACCUUCUCCCAUUUGCUCUGUAUUCCUGUGUGUGA